ACUGGGUUCGUAUGGUACAUAGAUGCAUUAGCAACUCUAGCACCAUUAGAAUUCAGUUC
Molecule: microRNA precursor, 59 nt
Filed under: Limulus polyphemus (Atlantic horseshoe crab)
Lineage: Eukaryota; Metazoa; Arthropoda; Merostomata; Xiphosura; Limulidae
Description: Lpo-Mir-29-P1n_pre stem-loop
Source: RNAcentral